This 585-nucleotide ribosomal RNA is filed under the name uncultured bacterium. RNAcentral describes it as "partial 16S ribosomal RNA". It matches the Rfam family "Bacterial small subunit ribosomal RNA", at positions 355 to 1375 of the family's 1533-position model. The record is from RNAcentral.
UGGGGAAUUUUGGACAAUGGGCGAAAGCCUGAUCCAGCAAUGCCGCGUGUGUGAAGAAGGCCUUCGGGUUGUAAAGCACUUUUGUCCGGAAAGAAAUCCUUGGCUCUAAUACAGUCGGGGGAUGACGGUACCGGAAGAAUAAGCACCGGCUAACUACGUGCCAGCAGCCGCGGUAAUACGUAGGGUGCAAGCGUUAAUCGGAAUUACUGGGCGUAAAGCGUGCGCAGGCGGUUUGCUAAGACCGAUGUGAAAUCCCCGGGCUCAACCUGGGAACUGCAUUGGUGACUGGCAGGCUAGAGUAUGGCAGAGGGGGGUAGAAUUCCACGUGUAGCAGUGAAAUGCGUAGAGAUGUGGAGGAAUACCGAUGGCGAAGGCAGCCCCCUGGGCCAAUACUGACGCUCAUGCACGAAAGCGUGGGGAGCAAACAGGAUUAGAUACCCUGGUAGUCCACGCCCUAAACGAUGUCAACUAGUUGUUGGGGAUUCAUUUCCUUAGUAACAUAGCUAACGCGUGAAGUUGACCGCCUGGGGAGUACGGUCGCAAGAUUAAAACUUAAAUGAAUUGACGGGGUCAUAGCUGUUUCCU